This 497-nucleotide ribosomal RNA is filed under the name uncultured bacterium. RNAcentral's name for it is "partial 16S ribosomal RNA". It matches the Rfam family "Bacterial small subunit ribosomal RNA", at positions 28 to 523 of the family's 1533-position model. The record is from RNAcentral.
GACGAACGCUGGCGGCGUGCCUAACACAUGCAAGUCGAGCGAAGAUAUUUGGAGGAAGUUUUCGGAUGGAAUCCAGAUAUUUUAGCGGCGGACGGGUGAGUAACGCGUGAGCAACCUGCCUUUCACAGGGGGAUAAGACGGCGAAAGCCGUUCUAAUACCGCAUGAGACCACAGAGUUGAUAUUUCAGGGGUCAAAGGAGCAAUCCGGUGAAAGAUGGGCUCGCGUCCGAUGAGGUAGUUGGUGAGGUAACGGCCCACCAAGCCAAUGAACGGUGGCCGGCCUGAGAGGGUGAACGGCCACAAUGGAACUGGGUGUCGGUCCAAACUCCGACGGGAGGCAGCAGUGGGGAAUAUUGGGCAAUGGGGGAAACCCUGACCCAGCAACGCCGCGUGAGGGAAGAAGGUUUGCGGAUUGUAAACCUCUGUUCUUGGAGAAGAGAAGAAGACGGUAUCCAAGGAGGAAGCCCCGGCUAACUACGUGCCAGCCGCCGCGGUAA